AAGCCAUGGUGUGGGCACCUUCUUAAUAAAUCAUUAUAUCUCUCCCAUACAUCGUAAAGUGUCUCUAAAUCCAUCUGCACAAAAGAAGAAAUAUCAUUACGCAACUU
Molecule: small nucleolar RNA, 107 nt
Filed under: Gossypium barbadense (sea-island cotton)
Lineage: Eukaryota; Viridiplantae; Streptophyta; Magnoliopsida; Malvales; Malvaceae
Also listed under: 2 other names
Description: Plant small nucleolar RNA R71
Rfam family: Plant small nucleolar RNA R71
About the family: R71 is a member of the C/D box family of snoRNAs containing the C (UGAUGA) and D (CUGA) box motifs. Multiple nearly identical copies of this snoRNA have been identified in Arabidopsis, and it is thought to function as a 2'-O-ribose methylation guide for 18S ribosomal RNA.
Source: Rfam by way of RNAcentral